AUGGAUGUGCGCGAGGGGACGCGGAGGAUGAGGGGUGCUUCCAUCCCUGCUCCGCUCGAGGGGGAUGGCGAGAGCCUGCUGCUGAUGUAUCUGCCUCAGCCGGCGCCGGCGUCGGCGUCGGCGGCGAUGAUGCCCACGCCGCCGCCCUCGUUGGAGGACUUCGAAGCUUUAGGAGAAGAUGGCAAGCCGUUGUGGCCGUCCAAGGAAUUCCUCCGGCAGAUGUUGGUGGCCAUCGCCCCGACCGGAUCGAUUCUGCCCACUGUCAAAUUAAUUACUACGAGUAGCUUUCUUUCUACUCGAUCGUACUACGAGUAG
RNAcentral lists this ribosomal RNA (315 nucleotides) under Triticum aestivum (bread wheat). RNAcentral's name for it is "partial small subunit ribosomal RNA". Lineage: Eukaryota; Viridiplantae; Streptophyta; Magnoliopsida; Poales; Poaceae. The record is from RNAcentral.